GACGAACGCUGGCGGCGUGCUUAACACAUGCAAGUCGAACGGAAAGGCCCUGCUUUUGUGGGGUGCUCGAGUGGCGAACGGGUGAGUAACACGUGAGUAACCUGCCCUUGACUUUGGGAUAACUUCAGGAAACUGGGGCUAAUACCGGAUAGGAGCUCCUGCUGCAUGGUGGGGGUUGGAAAGUUUCGGCGGUUGGGGAUGGACUCGCGGCUUAUCAGCUGGUUGGUGGGGUAGUGGCUGACCAAGGCUUUGACGGGUAGCCGGCCUGAGAGGGUGACCGGCCACAUUGGGACUGAGGUACGGCCCAGACUCCUACGGGAGGCAGCAGUGGGGAAUAUUGCACAAUGGGCGGAAGCCUGAUGCAGCAACGCCGCGUGCGGGAUGACGGCCUUCGGGUUGUAAACCGCUUUCGCCUGUGACGAAGCGUGAGUGACGGUAAUGGGUAAAGAAGCACCGGCUAACUACGUG
This 468-nucleotide ribosomal RNA is filed under the name uncultured bacterium. RNAcentral describes it as "partial 16S ribosomal RNA". It matches the Rfam family "Bacterial small subunit ribosomal RNA", at positions 28 to 507 of the family's 1533-position model. The record is from RNAcentral.